This 490-nucleotide ribosomal RNA is filed under the name uncultured bacterium. RNAcentral describes it as "partial 16S ribosomal RNA". It matches the Rfam family "Bacterial small subunit ribosomal RNA", at positions 30 to 507 of the family's 1533-position model. The record is from RNAcentral.
AUUGAACGCUGGCGGCAGGCCUAACACAUGCGAGUCGAACGGAAACAGGAAGCAGCUUGCUGCUUCGCUGACGAGUGGCGGACGGGUGAGUAAUGUCUGGGAAGCUGCCUGAUGGAGGGGGAUAACUACUGAAAACGGUAGAUAAUACCGCAUAAUGUCGCAAGACCAAAGAGGGGGACAUUCGGGCCUCUUGCCAUCGGAUGUGCCCAGAUGGGUUUAGCUUGUGGGUGGGGUAAGGGCUCACCAAGGCGACGAUCCCUAGCUGGUCUGAGAGGAUGACCAGCCACACUGGAAGUUAGACACGGUCCAUACGCCUGCGGUAGGCAGCAGUGUCGAAUAGUGCACAACGGGCGCAAGCCUGAUGCAGCCAUGCCGCGUGUAUGAAGAAGGCCUUCGGGUUGUAAAGUAGUUUCAGCGGGGAGGAAGGGAGUAAAGUUAAUACCUAUGCUCAUUGACGGUACCCGCAGAAGAAGCACCGGCUAACUCCGUG